UUUGAAAUCUGGUCCCCCCUCCAGGGGCCCGAGUUGUAAUCUGUAGGGGAUGCUUCUGGCGAGGUGCCUAUCAAGUCCACUGGAACGUGGCGCCAUAGAGGGUGAGAGCCCCGUACGGUAGGACCCCGAGCCUCUGUGAAGCUCCUCCGACGAGUCGAGUAGUUUGGGAAUGCUGCUCUAAAUGGGAGGUAAAUUUCUUCUAAAGCUAAAUACCGGCCAGAGACCGAUAGCGCACAAGUAGAGUGAUCGAAAGAUGAAAAGCACUUUGAAAAGAGGGUUAAACAGCACGUGAAAUUGUUGAAAGGGAAGCGCCUGUGACCAGACUCGUGCCCGGCGGAUCAUCCAGCCUUCUGGCUGGUGCACUGCGCCGGGUCCGGGCCAGCAUCGGCUCUCCCUGGGGGAUAAAGGCCCUGGGAACGUAGCUCUCUCCGGGGAGUGUUAUAGCCCAUCGCACAAUGCCUCAGGGGGGGCCGAGGACCGCGCUUCGGCUAGGAUGCUGGCGUAAUGGUCAUCAGCGACCCGUCUUGAAACACGGACCAAGGAGUCAACUAUUGGGGCGAGUCUAUGGGUGCAAAACCCGCUGGCGCAAUGAAAGUGAACGCAGGUGAGAGCUUCGGCGCAUCAUCGACCGAUCCUGAUGUUCUCGGACGGAUUUGAGUAAGAGCCCUAAUAUUUGGACCCGAAAGAUGGUGAACUAUGCCUGGAUAGGGUGAAGCCAGAGGAAACUCUGGUGGAGGCUCGCAGCGGUUCUGACGUGCAAAUCGAUCGUCAAAUUUGGGCAUAGGGGCGAAAGACUAAUCGAACCAUCUAGUAGCUGGUUACCGCCGAAGUUUCCCUCAGGAUAGCAGUGUCGUUUUCAGUUUUAUGAGGUAAAGCGAAUGAUUAGGGACUCGGGGGCGCUAUUUAGCCUUCAUCCAUUCUCAAACUUUAAAUAUGUAAGAAGCCCUCGUUGCUUAGUUGAACGUGGGCGCUCGAAUGUAUCGACACUAGUGGGCCAUUUUUGGUAAGCAGAACUGGCGAUGCGGGAUGAACCGAACGCGGGGUUAAGGUGCCAGAGUGGACGCUCAUCAGACACCACAAAAGGCGUUAGCACAUCUAGACAGCCGGACGGUGGCCAUGGAAGUCGGAACCCGCUAAGGACUGUGUAACAACUCACCGGCCGAAUGUGCUAGCCCUGAAAAUGGAUGGCGCUCAAGCGUCCCACCC
Molecule: ribosomal RNA, 1206 nt
Filed under: Aquapteridospora fusiformis
Lineage: Eukaryota; Fungi; Ascomycota; Sordariomycetes
Description: partial large subunit ribosomal RNA
Rfam family: Eukaryotic large subunit ribosomal RNA
Source: RNAcentral